CGGUAGCACAGAGAGCUUGCUCUCGGGUGACGAGUGGCGGACGGGUGAGUAAUGUCUGGGAAACUGCCUGAUGGAGGGGGAUAACUACUGGAAACGGUAGCUAAUACCGCAUAAUGUCGCAAGACCAAAGAGGGGGACCUUCGGGCCUCUUGCCAUCAGAUGUGCCCAGAUGGGAUUAGCUAGUAGGUGGGGUAACGGCUCACCUAGGCGACGAUCCCUAGCUGGUCUGAGAGGAUGACCAGCCACACUGGAACUGAGACACGGUCCAGACUCCUACGGGAGGCAGCAGUGGGGAAUAUUGCACAAUGGGCGCAAGCCUGAUGCAGCCAUGCCGCGUGUAUGAAGAAGGCCUUCGGGUUGUAAAGUACUUUCAGCGGGGAGGAAGGUGUUGUGGUUAAUAACCGCAGCAAUUGACGUUACCCGCAGAAGAAGCACCGGCUAACUCCGUGCCAGCAGCCGCGGUAAUACGGAGGGUGCAAGCGUUAAUCGGAAUUACUGGGCGUAAAGCGCACGCAGGCGGUCUGUCAAGUCGGAUGUGAAAUCCCCGGGCUCAACCUGGGAACUGCAUUCGAAACUGGCAGGCUGGAGUCUUGUAGAGGGGGGUAGAAUUCCAGGUGUAGCGGUGAAAUGCGUAGAGAUCUGGAGGAAUACCGGUGGCGAAGGCGGCCCCCUGGACAAAGACUGACGCUCAGGUGCGAAAGCGUGGGGAGCAAACAGGAUUAGAUACCCGUGGUAGUGCACGCCGUAAACGAUGUCGAUUUGGAGGUUGUGCCCUUGAGGCGUGGCUUCCGGAGCUAACGCGUUAAAUCGACCGCCUGGGGAGUACGGCCGCAAGGUUAAAACUCAAAUGAAUUGACGGGGGCCCGCACAAGCGGUGGAGCAUGUGGUUUAAUUCGAUGCAACGCGAAGAACCUUACCUGGUCUUGACAUCCACAGAACUUUCCAGAGAUGGAUUGGUGCCUUCGGGAACUGUGAGACAGGUGCUGCAUGGCUGUCGUCAGCUCGUGUUGUGAAAUGUUGGGUUAAGUCCCGCAACGAGCGCAACCCUUAUCCUUUGUUGCCAGCGGUCCGGCCGGGAACUCAAAGGAGACUGCCAGUGAUAAACUGGAGGAAGGUGGGGAUGACGUCAAGUCAUCAUGGCCCUUACGACCAGGGCUACACACGUGCUACAAUGGCGCAUACAAAGAGAAGCGACCUCGCGAGAGCAAGCGGACCUCAUAAAGUGCGUCGUAGUCCGGAUUGGAGUCUGCAACUCGACUCCAUGAAGUCGGAAUCGCUAGUAAUCGUAGAUCAGAAUGCUACGGUGAAUACGUUCCCGGGCCUUGUACACACCGCCCGUCACACCAUGGGAGUGGGUUGCAAAAGAAGUAGGUAGCUUAACCUUCGGGAGGGCGCUAC
RNAcentral lists this ribosomal RNA (1398 nucleotides) under Enterobacter sp. VH-4. RNAcentral describes it as "bacterial SSU rRNA". It matches the Rfam family "Bacterial small subunit ribosomal RNA". Lineage: Bacteria; Pseudomonadati; Pseudomonadota; Gammaproteobacteria; Enterobacterales; Enterobacteriaceae. The record is from RNAcentral.